Gossypium raimondii (Peruvian cotton) is the source of this 87-nucleotide non-coding RNA. NCBI's taxonomy places the organism in Eukaryota, Viridiplantae, Streptophyta, Magnoliopsida, Malvales, Malvaceae. The record is from Rfam.
CACGUUAGCGCGACCUGCUGACGUGGAAGAAAAUCGCUUCCUCAGGGACGCGAUUUCCUUCCACGUCAGCAGGUCGCGCUGACGUGG